Molecule: ribosomal RNA, 395 nt
Filed under: uncultured bacterium
Lineage: Bacteria
Description: partial 16S ribosomal RNA
Rfam family: Bacterial small subunit ribosomal RNA
Source: RNAcentral
AUACGUAGGGUGCAAGCGUUAAUCGGAAUUACUGGGCGUAAAGCGUGCGCAGGCGGUUUUGUAAGACAGAGGGGAAAUCCCCGGGCUCUACCUGGGAACUGCCUUUGUGACUGCAAGGCUAGAGUACGGCAGAGGGGGGUGGAAUUCCGCGUGUAGCAGUGAAAUGCGUAGAUAUGCGGACGAAAACCGAUGGCGAAGGCAAUCCCCGGGGCCGGCACUGACGCUCAUGCACGAAAGCGUGGGGAGCAAACAGGAUUAGAUACCCUGGUAGUCCACGCCCUAAACGAUGUCAACUGGGUGUUGGGAAUUUAUUUUCUCAGUAACGAAGCUAACGCGUGAAGUUGACCGCCUGGGGAGUACGGCCGCAAGGUUAAAACUUAAAGGAAUUGACGGGG